RNAcentral lists this ribosomal RNA (1544 nucleotides) under metagenome. Its description in RNAcentral is "bacterial SSU rRNA". It matches the Rfam family "Bacterial small subunit ribosomal RNA". The record is from RNAcentral.
AGGGUUUGAUCCUGGCUCAGAGUGAACGCUGGCGGCGUGGAUUAGGCAUGCAAGUCGAGCGAUCUUGAUAUUGCAAGGAGACCGACCUUCGGGAAGAUCAACGAGUGAUAUUCGGAUAGCGGCAAACGGGUGAGUAAUAGAUGGGUAACGUACCUUGAGGGGGAGCAUAGCCUCGCGAAAGCGUGGGUAAUACUCCAUGUGCUCUGGAAUCUGAAAUGAUCCAGUGGAAAGAUGGCCUCUACUUGUAAGCUAUCGCCUUAAGAGCGGCUCAUAUCCUAUCAGGUAGUUGGUGAGGUAAUGGCCCACCAAGCCUAAGACGGGUAGCUGGUCUGAGAGGAUGGUCAGCCACAUCGGGACUGAGACACUGCCCGGACUCCUACGGGAGGCUGCAGUCGAGAAUCUUUCUCAAUGGACGAAAGUCUGAAGAUGCGACGCCGCGUGGGGGAUGAAGGUUUUCGGAUUGUAAACCCCUUUUAUCUUGGAGGAAUCUUUAAUGGUGAAUAAUCAUUAAAGUUGACUGUACUUGAUGAAUAGCCACGGCUAACUCCGUGCCAGCAGCCGCGGUAAUACGGAGGUGGCGAGCGUUACUCGGUUUGACUGGGUGUAAAGGGUCCGUAGGCGGCCAAAUAAGUGAACGGUGAAAUCCUUCGGCUUAACCGGAGAAGAGCCUUUCAAACUGUUUGGCUUGAGGCUGAAAGAGGAGAGUAGAACUGUCAGUGUAAAGGUGAAAUUUGUGGAUAUUGACAGGAAUGCCCGUGGAGAAGUCGGCUCUCUGGUUCAGACCUGACGCUGAGGGACGAAAGCUAGAGGAGCGAACAGGAUUAGAUACCCUGGUAGUUCUAGCUGUAAACGAUGGGCACUAGGUGUUCGUCCUUUUAGGAUGGAUGUCGUAGGUAACCCGAUAAGUGCCCCACCUGGGGACUACGGCCGCAAGGCUAAAACUCAAAGGAAUUGACGGGGGCCCGCACAAGCGGUGGAACACGUGGUUUAAUUCGAUGCUACGCGAGGAACCUUACCAGGGCUUGACAUGCUAGAAGUAGCUUUGAUGAAAGUCGAAGCGAUCGGUAACCAGUCCGGAACUAGUGCAGGUGCUGCAUGGUUGUCGUCAGCUCGUGCCGUGAGGUGUUCCCUUAAGUGGGAGAACGAGCGCAACCCUCGCCUUUAGUUGCCACUUUUUCGAUUUUAUCGGAAGAAGCACUCUAAAGGGACUGCCCGCGUUAAGUGGGAGGAAGGCGGGGACGACGUCAAAUCCGCAUGGCCCUUAUGUCCUGGGCUACACACGUGUUACAAUGCCUACUACAACGGGAUGCUAAGCCGCGAGGUGGAGCAAAUCCUUAAAAAGUAGGCCCAGUUCGGAUCGAAGGCUGCAAUUCGCCUUCGUGAAGCUGGAAUCGCUAGUAAUGGCGCAUCAGCUACGGCGCCGUGAAUACGUUCCCGGGCCUUGUACACACCGCCCGUCAAGCGCUGAAAGUGGGGGGCGCCCGAAGCUCCGUUUUACGGAGUCACGGUGAACUUCAUGAUUGGCGCUAAGUCGUAACAAGGUA